Canis lupus familiaris (dog) is the source of this 4786-nucleotide long non-coding RNA. RefSeq lists it as uncharacterized. The record is from RefSeq and is a predicted model, not a curated record. Lineage: Eukaryota; Metazoa; Chordata; Mammalia; Carnivora; Canidae. The transcript has 4 exons.
GCCAGGAGCGCUCGCCCUCGUCGAGGUCUCUGCAGCGCUGCCAGAGGCCUGGAGAUUGGAGCUGGGGCCCGGGGACACGUGGGAAUUUGCCGGUGCAGAAAGGGACUCGCACGCUCCCCAGCGCGGGCAGCCCUGGGGGCGGAGCAGGGACGGCGGCGGGUGGCGGUGCCGGGGAUGGGCACGGGUUGGCGGGCCUGGGUCACGGCGGUUAGCCGGCAGUCCUCGUGAGAUCGCCAGCGUCCGGAGCCUGCACGACGGUGGAAGGAGGCAUGUCCAGAUCGUCCACCUGCCGAAAACUAGCUGUGCUGUACUCUGUAUCUCGCUUCUCUCACAGCGUCAAACGUGGCCGUUCCCUGUGUGGUGAAGGCGCACCCGUAACUCAAUGCUAGGGUUAACACUCCAAAGCACCUGAGCUGAGCGGUCGCCUACUUGACCCUGACAUGCAGUCACCGAGCGAGGCCUUCCUUGGUCAGGGCACACCCCCGCAAAGACAGCUCUGUGUCUUCCUCUAAGGCUUUCUUUCAGGGAAGUUCCCAAUGGCCCGGUGACUUCCACGACCUGGAUCUGCGGGUCCCACGUCGUCCUCACGUCCAAACUGAUUCCAACCAGUUCCCCGUUUACAGAUCUCAUCAGCCUGCAUGUUCCAAACCGCAAGUUCAAAUCAGCCCUGCUAACCGCCGCACCAUAGGCAUUAACUUGAGCCAGCUCUACAGGGCCUCCCGCUCCAGCCACGUUGCAGCCACAACUUUUUAUAACACAGAUCGCAACUUGUGACUCACCUGCUUUGGAGUCCUAGGGUGACAGAUGACCCCUUUUAGAGAAUAAUUUGCCAAAAACAUUCCUUUUUGGAGAACUACUUAUAAAAAAAAAUGAGUCAUACCCAUAGAGACCCUGUAAUUCCAUUUCUGGCAAUCAAAUGUAAGCUCACUGCACAACAGUGCUCAUCCAGGCAUUUAUUCACUUUAUGAGGAAUUUGCAGUAUCAAUGGCAGUUAACUCAUACUGAGUGCUUGGAACAUGCCAGGCACUUGCUAAACAUGUACCAUCUCGUUUAACUUUCUACACAAACCUGUGGGACAGGAGGCUGGGAAUGAUUAGUGCCUUGCCUGAGCUGUAUCCCACCUCCCUGUGACAGCCACACCCAUACAUUUCAUUACUACAGGUAAUGGGCCCUUGUGAUGAGUCCUGCCCCUGGAUUAAUGCUGUGCAGUCACCAGCCUAAAAUUCUUAAUAAUUACUGAACAAGAGCUCCUACAUUUUCAUGUUGCAAAUUAUGUAGCAAGUGCUGUCAUCACAACAAACCAGAUGGUUAUGCUGAGGCCCAAAGACCUCCGAGUCAUAGAACUGGGACUCAGACCUGUCUUCCAACCACCCUGGGCAGGCACAGAAGUGCAAUGCUCGAGUGGAAUGGUUGCUUUCGAAUCAUACUGUGCUUCUUGGAAAUGCCAGUUGGCAUUUGAAACUCCUUGGUUGGAGUGUCUCAGUGGAGACCACUUCUGGCCUUUCAGGGCAUGCUCGGUCUUAGUGCUCAUUCAGCACCCCAAUCAAGAGGGACGUGUGUUCUCAGGCCAGGGGACAGCCUGUGCUGGGGAGAAGCCCAGUGGGCCGGGGGUGUCAGAGACUCAGCUGGUGCUGCCAGCUUCUCCUGCCCCCUGUGCUUCCCACGGCCUCUCCAGACCUUCCACCCAGGGGCUCAUUCAUUCAUGUGGCAUCGCAGACGAUGUGACCCCCGCACAAGAGUCGGGAGGCACACUGCACAUCUGAAUGUGUCCUCUGGCACCUCCCAUGACCUUACUUCCCCAAGUCCACCGUGGCCCUGACAACCGUACUGCUGCUUCCUGAGCGCUGAGCACGCAUGCAUCAGGCAUUUAGACACACUGGAUGCCGAGCACUCCCCCGUGGUGGAGUUGGGGUACGUGUUUGAAAACCAACCCCGUGGGGUGAAACGUGGCCCUCAGUUUCAUGCUUGCUGGCUUCUGUGGUGCAAACACUCCCCGUGGCUAACUAUAUUUGGGGUGCUGGGGGAUGACCGGAGAGGUGGGGGUUACUAGCAUGGUCCACAUGCCCAGAGACACAAGGUGGGCUCAUGAGAGAGGUCUGUUUCAGGCCGAAACAUGGAAGGAGGAAUGCAGUCAGCCAGGUUCGUGCAUGAAGCUCAUACUCUGGAGUUCACCCUCCCCUCGGAAGACGGGCUCAGAUGUCCUUAUCUCCCCCUCAGAGCCCAGGGAUGUGCUGCACGUCCCAUGGUACAGAGGGUGUCAGAAGAGGUAGAGGCAUGCAGCAUGCCCGCCCUGCUCUUCACUGAGCACUCUUCUCUCUCCCUGUGACUCUGGACAGAUAGCAUUGGACUGCAAUGCUCCAAGUUUCCACUUCCUUCUUGGUGAGUGGGGCCUAGGACCAGGCCACAGAGAUGCAUGGUGUGUGGCCAAAGACAGUGGCUUUCAGCAGAGCAGGGAACUAGGCCCUGGAGCAGCCGUAUCUGGCACUGCUCAGCCAGUCCGUGGGCAGAGCAAAUUUCUGUGACGCCUGGAACAUCAAGCAGAACAGUUCAGAUGGGUAUUGAAGGGAAGACUUGCUCUAUUCGUGGAGGGCUCCCCGGACCCAGGCCCACCUGGCAGUCUCAUGGCUGCAGCUGACCCAGGGCACUUACCCUUCAGUUGCCUGCCCUGGGACCUCAGCCCCACUGGCCCUCUGCUGCCAGAGGAGGUCACACCUACAAGGCCAGCAGAGAGAAGUGUGUGUCGUAUCUGGUUGCCCCUGGGGCCCCAUCCCAAGGUGCCGCUUCUUGAUGAAGCAGGUUCUCACAGCGUGUGCAUGCCCUCAGACCCCCGUCCCUCUCGUGAACAUAUCCUCCUACUCUGACGACGGAGAAGGUGGUAGAAGCAGCUCGCCCUCCUGGGCAACUCACCAGCUGCUGCAACUGAACCCUAAAAUAGUAGUGCCUGUGAGCCCACCAGCAUCAAUGGUCAACCAGGAAUGAACUCAGGAGAAUGAUGGCAAGACAACUCCGGACUAAAGUCUGAGCCCCAAGUGUUCGACAAGAAGCAGCACCAUCUCUUCUGCAUUCGGUGUGUUCUCCACUCUCACAAGAAGGAAGUGAACAGUUCGGGAAGCUUUCAGAACAGCAAACUUUCAACAUGUUCUUCAUGAGUGACAUGAUCCCUGCUGAGUGACUGGCCUUCACUCUUCCGUUUCUGAUGCAACAGGUUCUCAGGGUUGCCCUUCGAGCUCUGAGGUUUGAGAUCAGGUUCCCUGGGAGAAGGGCAAGAGAGGAGUUAUUCUCCUUGAACCCUCACAGAUGGAGGAAAAUUGAGGGUCUCUAAAUGGUCUUCUCUAAGUGGGUUCCAAGGCUGGUCCACUCCCAGAACAGCCAUGGACGUCGUGCUGGAUGAGCAAGGGCAGGGGGCAGAGAAGGAAAGGUCUGCAGAGUUUGGAAGGAAGCCUCCAGACCUUGGACCUGGGGAUCACAGGAGGUUGCUUUCCUCCAGAAACUCUCAAAUUAUAGCACAAGUUCACUGCUGACGCUUUCCAGAGAGUUUCCUGAGGUUCACAUCACUUCUUAGCAAAACUGGCAGCAGUGUGAGCCUUGGUCUGAUCCCUUUGUGGGGUCCCCAUGGAGGACCCUCUGUUACCAGAAGGCUAUCAUUAGGAUUCCACGGGCCCCAUUCUCUUCCUCACCAUGGUGAGGAUUGGCUUUUACAUUUUUGUGUUUUGUUUUGUUUUGUUUUGUUUUGCUAUCCCUUUGGUCUUCACUUAAGCAAGAAGAUAAAUCUUACCAGAUGGGAAGAAUGCCAUCAUCACCAUAGUCCCUGGGAAGUUUAUGCGUUUGGCUUUGCCACUUCAGACAGUGGUCACCUCAUACCUUGCAGCCAAGCAUCACAAAGCACAGUAUGGUGGGGCAUUUUCACAUUUUAGAGACAAAUCCCUCAGAGAGGGAAUAUCUAGGCCCAGGUUGGCGUUGAGACUGCGGGUGCCAUGCUGAGCCUUUCAAGCACUACAGCUUAUGACCCGGGGGGCUGGUGACCUUUCUGAGUCCAUUGAAAAUGUCCCCCAGCCUGUACGCUGUGCUGAAGAGACGGAGCGGAGAGAAUGCAGCCAGCCCUUCAGAGGCCACGCUGUGCAUUAUCACCUUGGAAGCCUGAACUCCUCCACGUACCCACCAGACCCCUGGGAUGGGUCCCUGCGGUGCUGCUCCUCAGGCCUGACUCUGCACACCCCCAGACUCUCUCCCCCAGGGAACUCGCCUGCAUGUCAUGCCUUCCAGGCCUCAGGUCAGCCCCAAGAACAGGUUUCUAAGGUCAAAGCCUUAUUUUAAAAUUCACUGUGCUGCCUGCAGCUCCUGUGUCACCCAUGCUCAGACACGUGUUUCCAAGGCAAGUCCUAGGUUAGCAACUGGACAGCAGAUCCAAAAACCCACCUGGGGGUAUGAUGUGUGUGCUCAGUCAGAUAACUAUUGACCCCGACCACAGGUAUCUGGGUUUGCUGGAUGGUGCUGAGAUCUGGUCCUUUGUCAGGCUCUGGGAAGACCCGGGAGUUCCAAGAAUGUGGCACAGGGUCAAAAUAUCCUGACAAGGGAUCAAAAUGCUGGGAUGCACAUGUCCAGCAGUCUUAGCAGCUCACAGCUGAGCAUGAUGUCAAUGCCAUGGAUUCCACACCACCUCACUGCAAAUGCCCGAGGAUGGGCAGGCUUCUGUCUUUGCAAGUCAAGACUGAGUCUCUUCGGGGGCCAGAAAACAGCAAGGGGCACCUGGGGGGGGGGGCUCAGUGGGUGAGGCGUCUGCCUUCGG